GUAGCUCCGAAUGGGCGACCUGAGCAGAACGGCGCUCUGGCUCUGUGGUCCGUGGGAUCCUUCAGGCUCCUUUUGGGUCCGGGACGGGGUUGGUGGCAGAGGUGGGGCAUGCGCGCUUGGGACUACCGAGUGCGUGCGGCUCCUCCGUGGGCGCCCGAGCAUCUCCCCGCCUUCCCCUGGGACCCGCAGUCCGCGGGUGGAGGGCUGAGACCCGGCGACCAGGCCUGCCCCGGCCGCCGCUGACCUGUCCUUGGAAGCGUGGCGGAGACUGGUGCGCUCCCAGCCUCCUCGCGCCACCGUCCACUUUCAGCUUCAGAGCGGAGGAUUCCGCCGACCUGUACCUGCACUCGGAAGCCCACUUGCAUUUUUAACUGCCAUGCGGAACCAGAACCAGAUCCAGCACUGGGAGAACACGGACGACGCCUCCUAGGAAAGCCUGAACCUUUAUGAUAGUUUCUCCAAAGUUUGGGCUACAAGGGAAGAGAAUCCCUAAACUCAAACUAGUGUACCCAGACCCACAGCCCGUGUUCCCGAAGUUGCUAAGUGCCCGAGCGCAGCGCGUUAAGUAGAGAAGUCUUGGUAGUAAGCGAACCCGACCCGGCUCUCGGGGCGCUACUGAUGGAAAGCAACACACGCACAUCUUUGCGGGAAGAAUCUAGAGUCACCCUGGGAUAGAUCCAUCUCCUUCUGCCACUGAAUUUCACAGUUGAAAAAGAUUAGGGCAUGGGGGCGAAUUAAUGAUAUCCCCCACUCAUUCUAACCAUUCUCAUUAUUAGGAACAAAAAAAAAAAAAAAAAAAAAGGCUUGUCAAUUAUGAAGCUAUGUCCCCGAUAUUACAUGAAGACCAUGCAAACUACUUGAAAUUUGAAUCCGGACAUGAUCGUAAGGAAACUCUUUCAUAAAGCACUUUUGUGGCCCAGUUCCUGCACACACACAAAAGUGUUAGGUCUUUAAAACUUUUAUAAGUAUGUAAGUGAGACUCCCUCCUACUAUCUAGGAACACACAAUAGAGAUGAGACACUGACCCAAUCCUAAAGAGGCCAGAACUGAAGUGCUACAUUGUGGGAGUUGGGGGAUGCUUCUUUUUUCCAGCUCUUUUUUCCUAGAAUCCUCAUUACAGCUAACGCUGGUAAUAAAGGUAGGAAACAAUAGAACUCAUAAAACUUAGAAAUGGCAAUAAAUCUUGGCUCCUGUCUCUAGCCCAGUUCCUUCUUACAUGAGAUUCAAAGUUUUUCAGUAUGCAAUGCUGAACAUUUACACUAUGCUUGCAAUACAGAAAAAAAAUGCUCUAGAACUCAUUAAUACGGCCCUGCGCACUCUAUGCCAGGCGUCGCUGGUGGACAAAGCGCGCAGGGGUCCUCCUCUACAUCUGCCUGCGCCUGUAAUCCAGGCAGCUUACGUGUGUUAAAUUUGGGUCUCUCUCUCUCUGUCUCUCAUACAAAGAAGUUCCAUCAUUUGAGGCCGUUAGGAAAAGCUGAUGUUGUGCAGUGCCAAACUACCACAGGCUUCCUCCUUCAAAUGAAUCCCUGGAAAGCAGAGAGGCAGCUCGCUACGUGACCAUCAUGCUUUUUGCCUCACUGAGCUGUUGUCAAGAGAGGGCGGGGAUGGCGGGCAGCUCACGCCGUGCCCUCCACAGCAAUAAAAACCGGAGCCAGAGAAGAAAUCCAAGACAGCGCUGUCUGUUUUGCAAGCCUCUGGCCCCUCUCAGCAAACUCUGCCCGGCGCAGCUGGUGACUUUGCGGUGUGAACGCAGCCGGUAGUGCUCGGGAUAAUGGGACGGAGCUGGCGGCGUCGCCCUCCCGUGGGCCCCUCUUGUCACACAGAUGCGCAGCUCUCCACAAGGAAAAUGUGGCCCAGCUCCCCUCGCCUAGCCCUACUCUUAGGAACGCAUGCCUGGGGCCUUUGCAAGCCUCUAAAAAGUCCUUAGGGGGAAAAUAAUGGGCGGAACCUCCGGAUUCAUUUUGGGGAAGAGGAACCAGGCUCUUGCCCCACUACUGAGGCAAGGCCAACAGCACCCUGCCCUGCUGCUCCACCGCCUCCCCGUGGGCCAAGUCUCUGCCAAGUGUCGCUGCCCACCUGAAGGUGACACCUGUCCAUUUUAGUCAGCAUCACAUGCGCCUUCCCUUUCUCCCCUUUGGGGGCUGUCCGUUUUCUCCUCCUGUCCUAAAGAGCCAGCUUGGACCUGAAGGGGCCGGGUAGCAGCUGUUUGUGCCUCUCUCCCGUGCAGACUCGAUGGUCUCCGCAGCCACUUCCUCCUUUGACACGCGAGGCUUUCAGGCGUGCAGAAGGGGACCGCCCCGCCGGGUGAGGCAGGUAUUCGGCUCUCCAAGGAGACUUGUGGACAUCACUGAGUUUACCUAUUCUUUGGACUUUGUUCCAUCUGCUCUAGCAAACCUGAGGCCUGAGCGGCCUGCCUGCUGGGUUCAAACCCAGUGGCUCACCGGCUGCAAACUCUCCCACUCGGGAGACCCUAGGAACGAUGAGGAGCGGGGUAGAAAUGACUAGGGGAGCCAAAUCUCAGGUACCUAGACCUUCCAGCUCACCCCUCAGGACCAGGAAAGCCAGUCACCCACAUAUGCCCAAAAGAAGGUUAUGUCUCAACUGAGAACAGCAAAUAGGUGAUGGGCCACUUUAGAACACACGCUAAAGGCUGGUAGCCACUGAGCGAACCCCAAAUUCUAGGCACCUGAGGUGUUUGCCUUACACAAAUGGCUUCACAGGUAGCAAGCUAUUAAUCUACAACAGUGAACAACACUAAAACUUAAAUUUUACAUGGAAGUCUCUCAAGUAGACAAAGAUAUUAUUGGGUGGGGGUUUCCCCCCACUGACAAAAAAUAACUUAUCCCUUGGCUGUUAGAUUGAGGGAACUAUAAAACAAAUAUUUUAAUUCGAUCACUGACAAAGUCAUAAAAUUAAAUGACUGUUUGUAGAGGAAAAUAUGUUUUCAUUAUCUUAAUUAAAGCAAGAUAAGCCUCUCUCAAUGUGCAUGCAUUUUGGAGCCACUGAAUGGACUGGUGAUGAGACGAAGCAACCUUUAAUUGGGACCAUGCUUCUCCAGUACAUUUGCUUGUAUUCCAUGGCGUAAACCUGGCCUAUGCGUGGCUCCAACCUUCAGUGAAAAAGCAUUUGCGUAGCACCACCCAAGGGCUCCCUUGCUUUGGCUGGAGCCUCAUAAAAGACCCCAGGUUUUGCAAAGCAUUUUGAACACCAGCAUCUUUUAACAUGUGGAACUUUUGGGUUUGGUUUAGCUCUGUGAAUGUGUUUAAAACUUGCUACAUUAUUCCACGCUGAAAGUUGGAACCUUUAUAAUUAAGAGUUAUCAUGGAGUGCCUUUUAAAAUCUGUCAUAUUUUCUAUAAACAACUUUUCAGUGAGAAACGUAUAUAGUGUACUCAAGGUAGGCAUUAGCUGCUGGCAAGGUUUAUGAUAAAAUAGUGACAUUACAGGACAAUUUUUUAGUAAAACAACACCCUUUAGAUAUUUUAGGUUCCAGCUUAUAUGUUAACUUGUAAAUAUAGGCUAAAAAUAUAGGCAUCAAGUGACUAUAAUUCAGUAUCAGACAAAUUGAACAUCUUUUUAUUUCCCAGAAGUGCCCACUCUUUCUCCUCCCUUUGGUGACCUCUUAGUCUGGAAUGCCCUGCAUCUGGAGCCCCCAGAACUCACAGCUUUUAAAGCACCUAUUAGUGAUACUUUCCUUCCUUGGCAGUGCUUCCACUGUGUUUUCUGCAUGUAAUAAAGGAUGGCACUGUUUUUUGUAUAGGUCUUUCCUAAUAGCUGAGCACUCUGGGAGUGUAGGGGCUCAACCUUAUGCCUCUUUGGACACACAAGCCUAGCCCAUGGGCUGGCAUAUAGGAGCUGCUCAAUAAAUGUUUGUUGAAUGAAUGAGUGGAUACAUGAAGAAAAUAUUUUCAUUGUCUUUAGCCCUUCUGACUUUCUUUUUUAAAUAGGGGUAUGUCAUAAAUAAAAUUUACCUCGAAAAUGUAUUUAAGUACACUUUUUUCUUCUCUACUAUCAAGUUUUUAAUGGGACAUCAUUUUAAAAUUCUGGUCAUUACAACGAACCACUUUUGACCUUGGUUGACUUUCCUCAGAAACAUAAUUUAAAGUAAAGACAAAAACAAUGAGAAAAGGCAAAGAGAUCAAAUUUUGGUUUUCUCUUUUUCAGUAGGAUAUGAUAUUUAUCGAAAUUUGGAAACAAAUUGUAGCAAGCACCUAUAACGUGUAGAUACUCACGUUUUUAUAUUAAAUAUGACAUUAUUUAUAAAA
Molecule: non-coding RNA, 4264 nt
Organism: Chlorocebus sabaeus (green monkey)
Lineage: Eukaryota; Metazoa; Chordata; Mammalia; Primates; Cercopithecidae
Source: RefSeq, a predicted model, not a curated record